This is a non-coding RNA of Gorilla gorilla gorilla (western lowland gorilla), 148 nucleotides long. It matches the Rfam family "Metazoan signal recognition particle RNA". Rfam says of the family: The signal recognition particle (SRP) is a universally conserved ribonucleoprotein. The record is from Rfam. NCBI's taxonomy places the organism in Eukaryota, Metazoa, Chordata, Mammalia, Primates, Hominidae.
GCCAGGUGUGGUGGCGGGCGCCUGUAAUCCCAGCUACUUAGGAGGCUGAGACGGGAGAAUCGCUUGAACCCGGGAGGCGAAGGUUGCAGUGAGCUGAGAUCACGCCACUGCACUCCAGCCUGGGUGACAGAGCGAGAUUUCGUCUCAA